This 253-nucleotide ribosomal RNA is filed under the name uncultured bacterium. Its description in RNAcentral is "partial 16S ribosomal RNA". It matches the Rfam family "Bacterial small subunit ribosomal RNA", at positions 524 to 776 of the family's 1533-position model. The record is from RNAcentral.
UACGUAGGGUGCAAGCGUUAAUCGGAAUUACUGGGCGUAAAGCGUGCGCAGGCGGCUUUGCAAGACAGAUGUGAAAUCCCCGGGCUUAACCUGGGAACUGCAUUUGUGACUGCAUGGCUGGAGUGCGGCAGAGGGGGAUGGAAUUCCGCGUGUAGCAGUGAAAUGCGUAGAUAUGCGGAGGAACACCGAUGGCGAAGGCAAUCCCCUGGGCCUGCACUGACGCUGAGAAGCGAAAGCAUGGGGAGCGAACAGG